This 947-nucleotide long non-coding RNA is filed under the name Bos indicus x Bos taurus (hybrid cattle). Its description in RNAcentral is "lncRNA (ENSBIXG00000022171.1)". The record is from RNAcentral. Lineage: Eukaryota; Metazoa; Chordata; Mammalia; Artiodactyla; Bovidae.
AACCUCCUCAGUUAUCACCCAGCUUCUCAAACCUGUUCUCUUUCCAUUUCUUGAGGAUUUUGCAGUGGACUUUCCUGGGGUGCUUAGUUCUCAGCUAGACAAGAAGAUGGCUCCUUCGUUAAACCAAUGGGUCUUGGACAAAAGCCUUGGCAGGACUUGAUUCUCCUCCUGUUGCUAUGCCCACGGCUGCGGAAUCAGCCUCACCAGGAAGGACCAGCCAGAUCCCAGCUCUCUGGAGGAAUCUUCCUCUCCAUCUGGAUCCUGAGGAAUCAUAGAAAACAAAAUGUUGGCUGAAUUCCAUGGGGAAAAAUAAGAAUUUCAGCAGUUUCACCUAAUUCCAUUACAUCAUCAUUUUCCAAAUUCACCAGUUGUCGUACCAUAUUGCAAAAUGUCACCACCAAUUUCCUUAUUUUUAAAUACUAUGAAAAAAAGAGACUUUUGUUGGGUCCCUGGAGAGAAAGCAGAGGAUGAACUUGUACAAGAGACGUGUCACGUACAGUCGUUGUGGGUGCUCACCUCCUAUAAAUGCUGAUUGCCCAAGUGAUUAUAAGCCCAUUGCAGGUGGAGACUCUGCAACUGAAGACAUGGUACCACGCUGUUUGCGAAUGUGGAAAGGGGAGGAACCGUGGGAGAUUAGCAAGCCUAAGUUUUCAAUGGAAACGGUAUCAUUCUCUUCCUGCCCCAGUCUCCAGGGCACUGCAGAAGGGGAAGCAGCCCCAGGCCUGGCCUGAAGGGAGACUGAACUACUAUUCGUGUAUGAAGCCAGUAAGGGGUAACAGCACAGAACGCCCGGACUGGUCUCCUAAUUCCAACACCUGCUACAUAUUUGGUCUCACAGAUUUCAAAUAAAUUGUUUAAGCUCUUUUUGCCUCAGUUUCCUCAUUGGUCAAAGGAAGAUUAAUAGUAAUAUCAUAUCUGAGGAAUAAAUAAGAUGCCUAAGAAAUACA